CAAAUCAGGUAGGAAUACCCGCUGAACUUAAGCAUAUCAAUAAGCGGAGGAAAAGAAACCAACAGGGAUUGCCUCAGUAGCGGCGAGUGAAGCGGCAAAAGCUCAGAUUUGAAAUCGUGUUUCGGCACGAGUUGUAGAUUGCAGGUUGGAGUCUUUGUGGAAGCGUGUGUCUAAGUCCCUUGGAACAGGGUGCCAUUGAGGGUGAGAGCCCCGUGAGACGCGUGCGGAAGCUGUAAGGCCCUUCUGACGAGUCGAGUUGUUUGGGAAUGCAGCUCUAAGUGGGUGGUAAAUUCCAUCUAAGGCUAAAUAUUGGCGAGAGACCGAUAGCGAACAAGUACUGUGAAGGAAAGAUGAAAAGCACUUUGAAAAGAGAGUGAAACAGCACGUGAAAUUGUUGAAAGGGAAGGGUAUUGGGCUCGACAUGGGAUUUGCGCACCGCUGCUCCUUGUGGGCGGCGCUCUGUGCUUUUCCUGGGCCAGCAUCGGUUUUUGCCGCAGGAGAAGGCGUGCUGGAAUGUGGCUCUUCGGAGUGUUAUAGCCAGUGCGAGAUGCUGCGUGCGGGGACCG
Molecule: ribosomal RNA, 566 nt
Filed under: Pichia occidentalis
Lineage: Eukaryota; Fungi; Ascomycota; Pichiomycetes; Pichiales; Pichiaceae
Description: partial large subunit ribosomal RNA
Rfam family: Eukaryotic large subunit ribosomal RNA
Source: RNAcentral